AGAGAGGUCGUGACACUGUGAAAAGGUGCACAUUAGUACAGAGUGUAAUAACUGUCUUGCUGUAAUAGGUACAAUGUUAGAUCAGAUGUCAUGACUUGAAGUAGAACAUUUGAAUACUGACUACGCCAGAAUUUCAAUGACUGCUGCAAGUUUAUGAAGAAAUGCCACAAGUGUCAGAUUUAUGCGGAUAAGAUUCAUGUUCC
This 203-nucleotide long non-coding RNA is filed under the name Lathyrus oleraceus (garden pea). Its description in RNAcentral is "Pisum sativum (pea) long non-coding RNA (PSAT_LNC026902)". The record is from RNAcentral. Lineage: Eukaryota; Viridiplantae; Streptophyta; Magnoliopsida; Fabales; Fabaceae.